AGUGAACGCUGGCGGUAGGCCUAACACAUGCAAGUCGAGCGGCAGCACGGUAAGAGCUUGCUCUUCGGGCGGCGAACGGGCGGAGGGUGCAGGAGAACAUGCCAAUUCAUUUUUGGUAGGGGGUCAAGUGAGGUACAAUUACCCAAUACCUCCUAAGGACGAAAGGGGGAAAUCGGAAGACCUCGCGCGUUUGGCGUGUUCGAUGUCGGAUUAGCUAGUUGGUGGGGUAAAGGCCUACCAAGGCGACGAUCCGUAGCUGGUCUGAGAGGAUGAUCAGCCACACUGGAACUGAGACACGGUCCAGACUCCUACGGGAGGCAGCAGUGGGGAAUAUUGGACAAUGGGCGCAAGCCUGAUCCAGCCAUACCGCGUGGGUGAAGAAGGCCUUCGGGUUGUAAAGCUCUUUUGUUGGGAAAGAAAAGCAGCAGGUUAAUACCCCGCUGUUCUGACGGUACCCAAAGAAUAAGCACCGGCUAACUUCGUG
RNAcentral lists this ribosomal RNA (484 nucleotides) under uncultured bacterium. RNAcentral's name for it is "partial 16S ribosomal RNA". It matches the Rfam family "Bacterial small subunit ribosomal RNA", at positions 29 to 507 of the family's 1533-position model. The record is from RNAcentral.